Molecule: ribosomal RNA, 497 nt
Filed under: uncultured bacterium
Lineage: Bacteria
Description: partial 16S ribosomal RNA
Rfam family: Bacterial small subunit ribosomal RNA
Source: RNAcentral
GAUGAACGCUGGCGGCGUGCCUAAUACAUGCAAGUCGAGCGAACAGACGAUGAGCUUGCUCCUCUGACGUUAGCGGCGGACGGGUGAGUAACACGUGGAUAACCUACUUAUAAGACUGGGAUAACUUCGGGAAACCGGAGCUACUACCGGAUAAUAUAUUGAACCGCAUGGUUCAAUAGUGAAAGACGGUUUUGCUGUCACUUAUAGCUGGAUCCGCGCCGCAUUAGCUAGUUGGUAAGGUAACGGCUUACCAAGGCGACGAUGCGUAGCCGACCUGAGAGGGUGAUCGGCCACACUGGAACUGAGACACGGUCCAGACUCCUACGGGAGGCAGCAGUAGGGAAUCUUCCGCAAUGGGCGAAAGCCUGACGGAGCAACGCCGCGUGAGUGAUGAAGGUCUUCGGAUCGUAAAACUCUGUUAUUAGGGAAGAACAAAUGUGUAAGUAACUAUGCACGUCUUGACGGUACCUAAUCAGAAAGCCACGGCUAACUACGUG